Molecule: unclassified non-coding RNA, 339 nt
Filed under: soil metagenome
Description: partial contains 5.8S ribosomal RNA, internal transcribed spacer 2, and large subunit ribosomal RNA
Rfam family: 5.8S ribosomal RNA (bases 1-120)
Source: RNAcentral
GAUGAAGAACGCAGCGAAAUGCGGUACGUAGUGUGAAUUGCAGAAUUCAGUGAAUCAUCGAAUCUUUGAACGCACAUUGCACCUCUCGGUAUUCCGGGAGGUAUGCCUGUUCGAGCGUCAUUUGUACCCUCAAGCUCUGCUUGGUGUUGGGUGUUUGUUCCGCCUCUGUGUGUGAACUCGCCUCAAAACAAUUGGCAGCCGGCGUACUUGUUUCGGAGCGCAGCACAUUUUGCGAUCCAGAUCAACGUACAGCGGCAUCCAAGAAGCCUUAUUUAACGCUCUUGACCUCGGAUCAGGUAGGGAUACCCGCUGAACUUAAGCAUAUCAAUAAGCGGAGGA